GCCUAGCCCCUAUGGGAGGGAAUAUCCUUUUUAUCCUUUUUCUGGAUAAAAAGAUAGGAAGGACAGCGGGACCAAAC
Molecule: small RNA, 77 nt
Filed under: Flavobacterium sp. 9R
Lineage: Bacteria; Pseudomonadati; Bacteroidota; Flavobacteriia; Flavobacteriales; Flavobacteriaceae
Description: Flavo-1
Rfam family: Flavo-1 RNA
Source: RNAcentral